AUUGAACGCUGGCGGCAGGCCUAACACAUGCAAGUCGAGCGGAUGAAGGGAGCUUGCUCCUGGAUUCAGCGGCGGACGGGUGAGUAAUGCCUAGGAAUCUGCCUGGUAGUGGGGGAUAACGUCCGGAAACGGGCGCUAAUACCGCAUACGUCCUGAGGGUGAAAGUGGGGGAUCUUCGGACCUCACGCUAUCAGAUGAGCCUAGGUCGGAUUAGCUAGUUGGUGGGGUAAAGGCCUACCAAGGCGACGAUCCGUAACUGGUCUGAGAGGAUGAUCAGUCACACUGGAACUGAGACACGGUCCAGACUCCUACGGGAGGCAGCAGUGGGGAAUAUUAGGCAAUGGGCGAGAGCCUGAUCCAGCGAUGCCGCGUGUGUGAAGAAGGUCUUCGGAUUGUAAAGCACUUUAAGUUGGGAGAAAGGGCAGUAAGUUAAUACCUUGCUGUUUUGACGGUACCAACAGAAUAAGCACCGGCUAACUUCGUG
This 484-nucleotide ribosomal RNA is filed under the name uncultured bacterium. RNAcentral describes it as "partial 16S ribosomal RNA". It matches the Rfam family "Bacterial small subunit ribosomal RNA", at positions 30 to 507 of the family's 1533-position model. The record is from RNAcentral.